AGCGUAGACGGUGAGACAAGUCUGAAGUGAAAUCCCGGGGCUCAACCCCGGAACUGCUUUGGAAACUGCCUGACUGGAGUGCAGGAGAGGUAAGUGGAAUUCCUAGUGUAGCGGUGAAAUGCGUAGAUAUUAGGAGGAACACCAGUGGCGAAGGCGGCUUACUGGACUGUAACUGACGUCGAGGCUCGAAAGCGUGGGGAGCAAACA
Molecule: ribosomal RNA, 207 nt
Filed under: uncultured bacterium
Lineage: Bacteria
Description: partial 16S ribosomal RNA
Rfam family: Bacterial small subunit ribosomal RNA
Source: RNAcentral